Molecule: long non-coding RNA, 609 nt
Filed under: Zea mays
Lineage: Eukaryota; Viridiplantae; Streptophyta; Magnoliopsida; Poales; Poaceae
Description: long non-coding RNA (ZMAY_LNC000307)
Source: RNAcentral
UACUCCAAUAUGCAGUAACAGUGUGUUUCUAGAGGUUGCAUAAGUCAAUACAGUUUUAGAAAUGCUCCAACAGUUGGUCAUAUGUACACAAAAGGCUUUUAUAUUAAAAAGUGAUGGAGCUCUUCUAAUGCUUGCAAAAAACCAAUACCUAUACAUACAUGAGGAAAGGAGUAAGAUUAUUUAGGCUGAAAGUGUGUUAAAUAUGUAACAGGUACAAAGGAAAAUAAGAGGAAAACAUGAGGAUAGUAUGCAAAGGAUUGUAGACGGUGUUAUACCUUCGAGUGCUUCAUGGUGGGCUAGCAGUCUUCAUUUUUUGAACCCAUAGAAUAUGGUAGCUCUUUGUUAAGUUGGGUAUGCUUCAUAUUGUAUGCAUUGUUAUUGUAUUAGUAUGGAAUAGAAGUUGCGGCUGUGAAAUUGAUGAGUAGACGUUGUUCUCAUUUUCUAAGUAAUAUCUUGUAACACUUACUUUUUUGGAGGCGAUGGUAGUUCGAGCUUGGUCAGCUGAUCCAUGUCUUUGUAGAUGACUUGUGAUCGAUAAGAUAAACAUUGCUAUCUUACUAUGGUAGUCCAAAGUGGGAGAGCACUUUUGUGCCGAAGAAUUUGUAGGUG